UAACGGUAACCUUUUCAGAAUUCAUUCCGACAAGUUUUAAACACAACCUUCCUCUUCACGAACUUUAACCACAGGACGCCCGCGAUUUCUGGUUUCUUGUCGUAAAAUGGGGAGCCAAGUACUCGCUGUUAUUUUCGUCGUUAGUGUUGCCUUUGCGUGCUUAGUCCCGGAUACUUGUGGGUUUGUUAGUGGAGGGGGUAGACGCGAACGGGACAGUCUCGCGAGGCAAUUACACGCAAGAAGUCUCAAAAAGCGCAUCUUGGAACUUUCUAGACGCGAGGAAGACAUUUGUGCGGCAGCGAGGGGACUCAACUGCGCACGCGCAGUAGAACAUCAAUAGGAGACAAAAAAUAUGAAUCUGUUAUGGUGGACUGAGAACUCGAUGGAAGCAAGCGUGCAACAAAUGCCAGAAAGUGGAGGGCAAAAGCAACAUCUGAGUUAGAGCAAAGAUGAAAUGGUUACCCUCAAACGAAUGAAAAUAUCACUUUGUUAUACCUUCACAAACGCCUUGAAAUGAAAUGUAAAAUGCGGAAUAAAAUAAUGCCUAUGAUAA
Molecule: long non-coding RNA, 553 nt
Organism: Nematostella vectensis (starlet sea anemone)
Lineage: Eukaryota; Metazoa; Cnidaria; Anthozoa; Actiniaria; Edwardsiidae
Exons: 2
Source: RefSeq, a predicted model, not a curated record